GCUGGUGGUUGUGUUCUUUUAGAGGGUUUGGGUACCUGGCUGCAUGGCCUCUUAGUGCUAUCUGUUUGUGCUGGCAGGGCUGUCCUAGAUGGGUUUUGGUGGAAGUUCCUGGUUUUGCUUGUGUGGGUUUGGCUAUCUUUGGUGUUGACGCUGGGGUAUGCUUGUGGACUGUCACUGGUAUACGCCAGCGUCAUUACUCAUCGGGUGUGUUCCUUUUCUCUUUUAGGGUGGUUUUUUAAAGGGGUUUUUGAUCGAGCCGGUGUUUCGAAUGGCAACCGAUUUCCCCUUCUUUGUUUUUUUUCUCCACCCAAGCUUAUUAGUGUUUCUUGCACGGGUUUGUUGGUUAAUAAUAUUUUGCCGCUUCAAAAAAAAAAUGAUAAAGCGAGCCUCAUAAAAAUUUGUCAAAAAAUUAAAUAAAUAGUUCAAAUGUUG
RNAcentral lists this long non-coding RNA (432 nucleotides) under Medicago truncatula (barrel medic). RNAcentral describes it as "lncRNA gene41806". The record is from RNAcentral. Lineage: Eukaryota; Viridiplantae; Streptophyta; Magnoliopsida; Fabales; Fabaceae.